UGUCGACUUAAGAAAAAAUGCACAAUGUGAGAGUUGCGAGUUAAGUUUUAUUUGGGGCAAAAUGAGGACUGCAGCUCGGGAGACAGCAUUUCCGAUAGCUCUGAGAAACUGCUCCAGAGAGGUAGGGGGGAAGGACUUCCCUGGUGUGCAGUGGUUAAGAAUCUGCCUGCCAAUGCAGGGGACAUGGGUUUGAGCCCUGGUCUGGGAAGAUCCCACGUGCCUCGGAGCAACUAAGCCCAUGCACCACAGCUACUUAGCCUGCGCUCUAGAGCCCGCGAGCCACAACUACUGAGCCCACAUGCCUAGAGCCCCCGUGCUCCACAACAAGAGAAGCCACCACAAUGAGAAGCCUGCACACCACAACAAAGAGUAGCCCCACCCGCUGCAACUAGAGAAAGCCCACGUGCAGCAACAAAGACCCAACACGGCCAAAAAUAAAUGAACAAAUAAUAAUAAAUAAAUAA
Molecule: long non-coding RNA, 464 nt
Organism: Orcinus orca (killer whale)
Lineage: Eukaryota; Metazoa; Chordata; Mammalia; Artiodactyla; Delphinidae
Exons: 2
Source: RefSeq, a predicted model, not a curated record